CGCCACUAUAUAUGAUGAUAUGGAUGUGAAUCAAAGUUGAUCUUUCUUUUGCAUUGGAGAGUGAACAUUGGAGCAGUGAAGCAUUGGUGCAGAUAGAUCUUGACAGGGCUUAUGCACAGAUUAGUCUUGAUGAAAUGUUGCUGUUGCGGGAGUGUUGCUACUGUUGUUGGAGUGUUGCUACUACUCUUAGAGUGUUGCUACUGUUGUUGGACUUCAUUUUUUUUAAUUUUUUUUUUAUUUCUUUUGCUUUCAGUUGAAUUAAUGUGUUGUAAAUAUAGAUGUCAAUGAAAUUCGAUUGAAAAAUUUAUAAGAAUUUUGGGUCUUAUUACAUUUGAGUUAUUAAUUUCAUUUAAUAUUAAAUAUCAUUUUUACA
Molecule: non-coding RNA, 373 nt
Organism: Camellia sinensis
Lineage: Eukaryota; Viridiplantae; Streptophyta; Magnoliopsida; Ericales; Theaceae
Source: RefSeq, a predicted model, not a curated record